This 2651-nucleotide long non-coding RNA is filed under the name Pan troglodytes (chimpanzee). Its description in RNAcentral is "long non-coding RNA NONPTRT000119". The record is from RNAcentral. Lineage: Eukaryota; Metazoa; Chordata; Mammalia; Primates; Hominidae.
UUUUAUUUUUCCAUUUGGAUAAUCAAUAGUCCAGCACUAUUUAUUAAAUACACCAACCUGUCCCCCACUGACUCAUAUGCCAACUCUGAAAUAUAUCAACAGUCUGUACAUACUGACAUCUGCCUUCUGGGCUCUGUUCCAGGAGAGUCUCGCUGAGUUUAUGUUCCAUCCCUCCCUGUCCAACCCUGCACUCUCUUCCACAACAAAGAUCUCUCACAUGUUGAGCACAGUGUGCCAGACGCUGUUCUACAGGAAACAAUCUGGCAAGAGAGACUUUCUAUGAUCCGACUCCAGCGAUCUCCGCCAGCCCAUUCCCUGCCCCUCCCCUGCCCCCUGUGUCUUUAUGCCCCCACCUCCCGCAUCAUUGCCCCUCUCUGUACUUUUGCACCUGCCAUUCCCUGGGGCUGUGGUUUCCUUUUAUCCUUUUCCAUCAGACAAACUGUGUUCUUCCCUUAACACCCAUAGGCAUCUGUGAAGCCUUCUCAUUCUCCCCCAGGCAGAGCCGCUCAUGGUAACUGGCUACUACUGCCUUCUUUGUCUGGGUCCCUACAAGGUAAGGAUUCUCUCCAGCACCAGCAGAGAAUUCCCUCCUGGCUCUUAUGCCUUGGACACCUAGUACCCCACCUGGCACUAGCAGGUUCUCAGGAAAUUCUUUUGAACUUUACAUGGUUCUGCAAGUUGAAAGACUUGGGUUCAAAUCUUAGCUCCACUCCUGAGUCAGUUGUAACUCUGGACAAGUCUCUUCCCCUCUCUGAGCCUCUACUUCUCUAGCUGUUGAAGAGGGUUGGCUACUUGUAAAGAGUUUACUUUUACAUCUGGAAAUCUUGUGUGAUUUCAAAAGUGUCUUUCAGCUGUAGAAUCUAGGGUUCUCACUGAAAUCAUCUUUGGUCAUAAUAUUCAAAGACUGGAAACAACCCAAAUGCUCCUCAAUUGGUGAGUAAAUAGACAAACUAUAGUACAUCUAUACAAGGGAAUACUACUCAGCAAUGUAAAGGAACGAGCUACUGAUACAUGCAAUAAUGUGGAUGAACCUCAAAGGCAUGAUGCUAAGUGAAAUAAGCCAGACUAAAUGGCUACAGACUAUAGAAUACAACUCAUAGAACAUUCUGGAAAAAGCAAAAUGAUAGGAACAGAAAACAACUCAAUGGUUGUCUGGAGGUAGGGAUGGGGUAGACUACAAAAGAGCAGAAGGGACUUUGGGGAGGUCAUGGAACUGUGCUAUAUGUUUAUCGUGAUGGUGGUUAUGGGAUUUUAUACAUUUGUUGAAAGUCAUAGAACUCUGGGAGGCCAAGGCAGGAGGAUCACUUGAGGCCAGGAGUUCAAGACCAGGCUGGGCAACAUAGCAAGACUCUGCCUGUACAAAAAAAUAGAAAAAAAUUGCCAGGCCUGCUGGCAUGCACCUGUAGUCCCAGCUACUUGGAAGGCUGAGGUGUGAGGAUUGCUUGAGCCCAGGAAUUAGAGGCCGUAGUGAGCUAUGAUCAUGCCACUGCACUCCAGCCUGGGCAACAGAGCAAGACCCUGUCUCAAAAAAAAAAAAAAAACAACUCAUAGAACUGCACAGAUUUUAUUUCAUGUAAAUGAUACCUCAGUUUUUAUAAAAUAAAGCAAUUAAAGAUCCCAGAAGCAUUGGGAUUCUCUACCUGUUGGAGGAUUAACCCCAGAAACACAGGAGUGAAUGGAAGGCUCUCAGAUAUUGCCACUGGAUCAUAUGGAAGAUACUCCCCUCCUGACAUGAACACAGAGCUGCAGGGGCAGUGAGGACCCCUUGGUGGGAAGGCAGCCUGCUAUCCCCUAACUGGCACCUAAGGUGUAACCAGCAGAUCCUUAGCUUAUUUUUAAGUGAAGAAUAAAAUUCAGAGGCAUUAAUUGACUUGCUGAGUCCAUGGGCAGUGAAUGGCAGAGCUGAGAUUCAAGCUCUGUAAUAUGCACCACCCCCCUCCUCCUCAAAAUGCAGCUGGGAUCUCUGCACCCCCAAUUUGUAGCCCUCUUCUGGGGCCUUCCCCAGUGCUAAUCCCUCAGAGUGCCUGCUGCCAUGGGGAUUAGCUUCUGGGGUCCCCAAGCAGCGGGGAAGCGGGGGAGAUCUGUCAGGGAGCAUUGGGUAACAUCAUGUGACCCGAGUGCUCCAGGCUGGUGAAGAAAGGAACACUCUCUCCAAAAGGAGUGUCUGCCAAACCCAGUGUGGAAAAGGGAUGUCAGGAGGCCACCAGGGUCAUUUCCAGCUGGGAAGGGAAAGGAGAGAGAUUUCCAGGCUUGGUCUGACCCCACACAAGCUCCUCAGGCACCUCUGAGGAAACUGGAGCACGAAGGAACCUAGUCUAAGGACCACUGGGGUCAGCCUAGUUGUGAAAUAUUCAGGUAACCUGGGUCCAAAUCUUAGUCUGUCACUGCCAGUGUGAGCCUGUGUGACCAGGGAUCAUAACCUCUUUGCCUCACAUCUAUAAAAUGGGGACAAUAAUACUAGCUUGGUUAGCGUGCAGGUUAAAUGGAAUGCGCCCUUGAAGCAGGCAGCCCAGAACCCGGCACCUAGUAAGUGCUCCAUAAAUUUUGGCUUCUUGUCAUGGACUUGGCUUUUUUUUUUUUAAAGACAAGAACAGCUGAGCAUGGUGGCUUAUGCCUGUAAUCCCAGCACUUUGGGAGGCCAAGGCAGGAGG